AUGCCGGGCGGAAACAGGAUAUGGGGUGCUGGGGCAUGUCUACAAUUGUAUCACUUUCCUAUGAAAUCCGUCAAUUUGAAUUCAUAAACACUUUUGAAAAGUAGUUAUAUGAUAAAAGUAAGACAUUUCAGCGCAAUAAGUGCUUGGUCGGUAAAAAGGUGGGAUUCUUCUAUGGUAACCAUUGGGUCAACGUGUGUUAAAAUGAAUCAGUUUCUGACGUAUACGCUUGUCAUCACUUAUUAGUAGCCUUUUAUUAUUUAUUUAAUGUAAUUAUUUGUAAGUUAUUUAUUUAGUUCUGUUUAUUAAUUUAUGCAUCUAUUUUUUCUUUUUUACAUAAUAAUGAGAUAUGGAAAAUAUAGACCAAGAGUAGAGCACUGAAUGAUAUAGACAAAAUAGGGAUAUAGUCCCUAUUUUGACCAAAUGUUCACAUUUACAAGUACACUUACACAUCGUUUAGCGAAUCACCUAGGCCAUCCUCUGAAUAAAUAUACGCCUAAUUUUAACGUUAAAUAUGAACAACUAAAGUACAUUAAAUGUGUGCAGAGGCUGUGAAGUAGGCAAAUGGACACUAUUCGUUUCCAUAAUUUGCUUAUUUUAAUUGUUUCGUUAUAGCCUACGUUGCUGAACGUUAGAGAGGGCGGAGCUAACACAUCGUUGAUUCAAGAAUGCCCAUUUUCUGCGAUUCGUUUCAAAAGAUUCGUUGUAGAAGGCAUAUAUCAUCAAGUGACUGUAGUAGCCAGUAUGUCCCGGGUAUGAAAUGAAAUCAAAAGUGGCCUACAGCGACCCAAGUUUGCUAUUCAUCUUCAAUAAAAGAGAAUGUAUGGAUAUAUCUUCUUUGGAUUCAGCUGUCUCUAUACUUAAUUUAAAAAAGUCUGACGAAGGUCUAUAUGGAUGCAAAGUUAAAUGGAAAGGGGGUGGCAGUUCUCAGGGGAAUCUGCAAUCCCUGAUCCUCACAGCCGCCGAGAGGAGCGAGUGGCACAGGGCGCUGGUCCUUGUGU
Long non-coding RNA from Gadus macrocephalus (Pacific cod), 998 nucleotides. RefSeq lists it as uncharacterized. NCBI's taxonomy places the organism in Eukaryota, Metazoa, Chordata, Actinopteri, Gadiformes, Gadidae. The record is from RefSeq and is a predicted model, not a curated record. The transcript has 3 exons.